UUGUCGGGAAAGAUGGCCUCUGCAUAUGCUAUCGCCUUGAGAUGAGUCCGCGUCCCAUUAGCUAGUUGGUAGGGUAAUGGCCUACCAAGGCAACGAUGGGUAGCCGGUCUGAGAGGAUGACCGGCCACACUGGGACUGAAACACGGCCCAGACUCCUACGGGAGGCAGCAGUGGGGAAUAUUGCGCAAUGGGCGAAAGCCUGACGCAGCGACGCCGCGUGAGGGAUGA
RNAcentral lists this ribosomal RNA (228 nucleotides) under Desulfovibrio sp. M8. RNAcentral describes it as "partial 16S ribosomal RNA". It matches the Rfam family "Bacterial small subunit ribosomal RNA", at positions 195 to 411 of the family's 1533-position model. The record is from RNAcentral. Lineage: Bacteria; Pseudomonadati; Thermodesulfobacteriota; Desulfovibrionia; Desulfovibrionales; Desulfovibrionaceae.